Molecule: long non-coding RNA, 7998 nt
Filed under: Nicotiana benthamiana
Lineage: Eukaryota; Viridiplantae; Streptophyta; Magnoliopsida; Solanales; Solanaceae
Description: long non-coding RNA (NBEN_LNC003578)
Source: RNAcentral
GUCCUCGAGCAAAGAAAAAAUUGAACAUAGUACCUAAACACUUUAAGUGAAAUCAUGAGAGGUUUUGACAAAGAAGAAUUGACUAAGACCAAUCAAUGAUAUAAACAACUUUCAGAUGUACUCAUGUUCACCAAUUGAGAACUAAAAUCAUAAUAUUUUCUAAUCCAAAGUGUGUCUCACUGAAUGAAGACAUAUACAUAUAUAUCACAUAAUAUAUAGCUAUAGGAUCAAAGAAGGGCAUAGAUAAAAAAUACACUCACUCUCAACAAAGAAGUACCUCAAGCUACCAGAAAUAACUAUAAGCUUGACUAUCAUGUGAUUCUCCACUGAUAUAGGAGUCUCUGGGUUAAGAUCAUGUAGGAUUUAAGCUACUGGAAAUAACCAUAAGCUUGACUAUCAUGUGGUUCUCCACUAAUAUAGGAGUCUCUGAGUUAAGAUCAUGUAGGACUUUUACAAGGUUGUAAAGUAGGCUUUAGGGAUGGGUAUGAUGCAUAUAGAUAAUAGUGACUCUUUUUUUUUGAAAUUCUGAAGCUACUAAUUUCUUUUAUUUCUUAUGAAAACAUCUCCAAAUAUCGACAACUUCAAACAACUAUUCUUUCACCAGUUAUUUACAAUUACACCUCACGCCAAGAUUUUUGUAUUGAUACCAGCUCUUGAAGUGCCCAAAAGGAAAUUGUGUGAACAAAGAACAAGUCAGAACAACAAACAUGCUAAGGGUUAAAGCAUGGCGACCAACAAAAUAAGAAAUAAUUUAUUUAGGCUCAACUGGGCUAACUAGGGAUAAAAAUCAUUAAGGUAGGUCAGUUUAGGCCAUGGCUCAACAAAGAAGGUCUACGUUCAUUUCUUUACUCAAAGAUCUACCUAGAAUUUCUCCUCAAUCCACAUUCAAGGCAAGUUCUAGAUUUCCAGAUAAGCAGGAGAACUAGACAUUAUAAGCUAACCGCACAAUACACUUGCGCUAACGAAAAUAAUGAUUUCAAUCACCAAUAAGUAAGUAAAAGUUAGAAAAGUGAUCAUAAAAUCCGUGAUUGGUAGUUAAUCGAAUUCGUCUUUUCUAAGUCUCAUGCUUUUCAAGUCAAAUCAAGUUUAACUAACCUAUUUGCUAAAACUAGUUAAAACAACUAAAAGUCCAAAAAAAAGUUCAGUUCUAAAUAUUACGACCAUGGCAAAGAACUGAACAAGAAAUUCAUGGAAGAACAUGAAAUAAGUUGCCUUAAGAAUAAGGCAACUCAAUAUUUUCGGUUUUUUUUUUCAGUUUAUCUAUUUUAAAAUUUUUUCUAAAUUUACUAAAAACACAUUUUUAAGUUGUUAAAUAUAUCUUUUUUUCUUUUUCUUUUAUUUUAAUUGAAAAAAAUUAAAAUAAACACAAAUAUAACUAAUAUAUUCUUCUACCCCCUAGCUUAAAUAAUGUCAUGUCCUCAUGACAAACAAAUUAAAAGUAAAAGGAGAUAGAGGAGCUUUCCUAAUAUUUUUUUCUAUUCUGGCCUCAUUUCUUGUUUCUUGGCUUCUCAAAAUUUCUCUCAAAUAAGAAAGACAAGAUUAUGGCAAAGAAAAUGUUCUUUUUCAUUGUCACGACCCUAGUUCACCAUUCGUGAACCUUUCAUGACGGCACCCAGUCUUCGCGACUAGGCAAGCCUAACACAUUGCUAAAAUUCAACAAUCUUUUCGAAAACAAUAAACAAUACCAAUAACAUAAGAAAAUGUAUAGGGUGCCACCUGGCACAUACACUUCAACUCAUAAUAAUGUAACAACAUCCAAGACCCGGAAACCCCAGGCAACACAGGCUAAGAGUAAAAACAUACAUACGGCUCUAAUAUCCGAAAGUGUCUACAACAACGGAAUACAGGAAUGAAACUACUAACUAAAAAGGUUAGAAUAGAAGGAGACUCUUCGGAUUUGCGGACGCGGCAGAUGCAUACCUCAAGUCUCUAAUUGAAAUUCUCCCCGACAUCUACUAGCGGUAUGCCUGCUUAGAUGUACCUGGAUAUUAGAAGGAGACUCCUCCGUUCUACGGAUGCGACAGAUGCAUACCUCAAGUCUCUGGUUGUACGCGAACCUCCAAGGCUGACAAAACAGAAUGAGGGUACCUGUAUCUGCACAACAAAAGUGUGCAGAAGAGUAGAAUGAGCGCACCACAGCGGUGCCCAAUAAGUAUCAAGACAAACCGAGAUGGAGUAGUAACGAGGGACAGUCAAGACAUCUGCCGGUCCAUAAACAGUACAAUCAUAGGGAUAAUACAAAUGAUAUAAAAUUAUAUAAAGACAGCAUGAAUGACUAAAAGAGCUACAAUCAUAAUAAAACUAAACGGACAAUAAGUAACAACGAGAAAUACACAAAUGAUGAUAAUAAAAGGACGGUAGACAUUACAGUCCAAAUCAUGAAGUCACAGCACAACAAGGACAGACAAGUUACUAACUCAUUAUUCUGCACUGCUCUUACAUAAGGUAUUCCAACUUUUGCCACAAUUCCACCACAACUCUCAUACCAGCCACAACCCAUAAAAACCCAAUAUCCGAGGUAUAACACUUGGCAUCUUGUGCCCCAUCAAUAGCACAGUCAUGUUGACAACUGACUAGUCAACUAGAGUCACUCUCACAUAUAAAAUGGGUAAACGAGGGCACAUCCCCAACCCUAGCCAAAUCAAGAUAGAUUCAUACCUAAUAGGAGGGUCCAACUACGUGUAUGCUUGUCCAAGUGUAUCUAACAGGAAUCCUACCAACCAGUAAAUAUAAGAAAUGGAAUGACUAGCACCCGAUUUAUUCACACUCGGGUAGAAUCAAUGAAAAUAUCAGUUCAUGACACAAUGAGUUUAACGGGGAUCUUCUAGGAUUUCGUCAUGUAGUCUCAAACAUAAACAUGUGCUAGGGAUCUCUUGGUAUCCUCAAUAGAUGUUCUGGGGAUCUCUUGGUAUCCCGAGGAUCUACUGAUAUCCUUAAUAUAUAUUCUAGUGAUCACUUGGUGUGCCGAGGAUCCCUUGGUAUCCUCAAUAGAUGUACUAGGGGUCUCUUGGUAUCCUGAGGAUCUCUUGGUAUCCUCACUAUAUAUGCUAGGGAUCUCUUGGUAUCCCGAGGAUCUCUUGGUAUCCCCAAUAGAUGCACUGGGGAUCUCUUUGUAUCCCGAGGAUCUCUUGGUAUCCUCAAUAUAUAUCCUAGGGAUCUCUUGGUAUCUUGAGGAUCUCUUGGUAUCUUCAAUAGAUGUAUUGGAACCUCUUAGUAACCCGAGGAUCUCUUGGUAUCUUCAAUAUAUAUGCUAGGGAUCUCUUGGUAUCCCGAGGAUCUCUUGGUAUCCUCAAUAGAUGUACUGGGGAUAUCUUGGUAUCCCGAGGAUCUCUUGGUAUCCUCAAUAUAUACGUUGGGGAUUUCCUGGUAUCCCGCAAUACAAAAUAAUCAACAUAGAUGUACAGUCCAAACAAUAGAAUAGUAAAUAUCCCAGUGAAGGAGUCGACAAUGGAAGACAAUAACAUCCCGGCAAGGGAGUCAAUAGUAGAAAAUAAUAACAUCCCGUCAAGGGAAUCAACAAGAGCUAGUAAGGUCACGGAAACACCAAGAAAAACAAAAUAAUCUUAACGAUAAAACAAGACACAAUAAGCACAUAAUAGCUACACCGAUACUAUAACAAUUGGACAUGUAAUAUAUUUGUACGAACAUAUGAACUUACAAUCAAGGUGCACCCAAUAGUAAGGAAGUUAACAUGAAUCAAAAAUUAAAAAUUUAAGGAAGUAUCAACUAAUUAUAUGAUAUCCAUCCUUUUUUCAAAUAAUACCGAUUAAUUACCUAAGAUAUAACAUUUAUGAUUUCCAAUUAAAGACGAGUAGUUAGAAUGGAUAAUAUGACUAUAGAAAGGGUGAUUAUCUUCAAUUAAACACGUAAGAAGUCAAUUAAACAACAAGAAUAAAUCAAGAAGAGCAAACAAUACCAAGUAAGAUAUGUAGAGGGGAAACUAAUAACAUGGAACUCAAUUGUAUCAAUAUCUUCUUCAAACUCAAUGAUUUCAAGAGUCUAAGGGUCUAAAAAGGGACAAUUUACCACAAAUAAAUUCGAUCACGCACUCGUCACCUCGCGUACACAGAAUGCAAUCAACAGAGAAGACUCAAAUCCUAAGGGAAAGUCCCUCCACACAAGGUUAGGCAAGACACUUACCUCAAACCGGCUAAAAUCAACUAGCAACCGCGUUCUUGCCAUGAGUUCUUGACUCCAAAUGGCCCAAAUCUAUUCAAUGAAAUCAUACAUUACAAUUAACAUCUCAAGCAACUAAUUCUAUAAUUUAAUUCAAAGCUAAAGAGCGAAAUCAGGUAAAAUAACCAAAAUACCCCUUUGUCCAAUGUCUCGGAACCGGAUGAAUUUAACAUUUUUAGAACCCUCGUAUUUUCAUGAGUCUAACUAUAUAGAAAUCUCUCAAAUCAGAGGUCAAUCACUCCCUCAAAACCCAAUAAUUCGGUCUAUGAAGUUCUACCCAUUUUUCAUUCAAAACUGAGAUUAAAGGAUGAAAUUAAGAGGAGAUUCAUGGGAGUUGGUCUAAAUCGAAUGAAAAUCACUUACCCAAGUUGCCCAGGUGGAUAUCCCUUCAAAAAUUACCAAGAACCGAGCUCCAUAAGUCAAAUAUGCGAAAUAAUGGUGAAACCCUCGAAAUUGGGAUUUAAAUCUGUACGCCAGUUAUUUGUUCUAUGUGAUCAAAGAGUAUGGGUUACGAUCACAUAGAGGAGCUUGAGAGGGCCCGGACUUUGUGCACUGUGUUCGCGUAAAAAAGGGAUGCGAACGUGGAGGGUUGAGAUGAUGGCGUAUGUGAUCACAGAGCGUACAAUGCGAAUGCAUUGAAGGAAAUAUGGGGGGACCAGUAAUUGGUCUAUACAAACACGGAAUGCAUAAUGCGAAUGCGAAGAAGGCCAAGAUAAGCCUAUGCGAUCGUGGAGGCCUGAUCGCGAUCGCAUAGAAGGUGUAACAGAAGCAGCAACAACAAUCCAAAAGCAAGGGGAAAUGACAUGUAGCCCAUGCAGAACACACCCGAGGCUCCUGGGACCUCGUCUAGUCACACACACAAGUCAUGUAACCUAACACGGACUCGCUCAAAGUUCCAAAUCAAAUAAAACAACAUUGAAAUGAUGAAUCGAACCAAAAAUCAAGCUAAUGAACUUUCGAAUCUUCAAAUAACGAAUCCCAUGCCGAAACCUAUCAAUUUAACUCGGAAUGAUGACAAAUUUUGCAGACAAGUUGAACAUGACAUAAUGGAUCUGUUCCAACUCUCGGAAUAACAUACUGACCCCGAUUUCCCAAAAGUCAAAUGUGGGUCAAACCUUUUCAUUUUCCAACUUCAUCUUUCGUUGAAAUGCCUCAAUAUACUCUACAGACCUCCAAAUCUGAAUCCGGAUGAUCACCUAAGUUCAAAAUCACCAUACGAAGCUGUUGAGAUCAUCUCGUUUACCCAAAAGUUCAGUUCCGGUUAAAUUUCUACCGUUCUAACUUCCAAAAAGGUUUCUUUACUAAAAUUGACUCUAAACCAUCCGAAAACCGAAUUCCACCAUGCACGCAAGUUGAUACUCAUGAUCUGAAGCUGCUCCCGACUUUAUACCGUUGAACGAAGUUUAAUUUCUCAAAACAACCGGUCGAAUCGUUACAUUCAUGAUAUGAGAAAAUUUUCAUUGUUGAAAUCAUGGGAGAGCUUAUCUGUCAUGGCAUAAUAUAUUAAUACAUACCAUAAAAUAAAAAAUAAUAAUUUCAUGUAUAUAUAUAUAUAUAUAUUAAAGGAAAAUAUUAUAUGUUACUACUAAUAAUUACUUAAAUGAUUAAAGAGAGGGGAAGAAACUAGUUCUGAGUUUAACGUCGCCGGCUCGACUUUUUUUAAAAAUUAGGCAAAAAGGAUUGUUAAAGCAUGUUUGUCGAAGAGUCUACUGAUAUAAGGCUUCAAACGAUGACCGUUUACUUUGAAUUUGCUCCCCCAUCUACAUGUUGUACUUCAAUUGCACCAUAGGGGGUCACUCAUGUUACUGUAUAUGGUCCUGUCCAGCGUGACUUAAACUUUUUUUGAAAAUAAUCUCAAUCGACUAUUAUACAACAGAACAUGAUCUCCAACUUUAAAAUCUUUAUGGCAGAUGAGCCUGUCAUGCCCUUUUUUAUCUUUUCCUUGUACAAUUUAACACUUUUAUAUGCUGUAAGCUUGAACUCUUCCAACUCAUCAAGCUGCAAUAGACGAUUUUACCUGCAUCUAGCAAGCUUAGAUUCAACAAUUUUAUAGCCCAAUAUGCUUUAUGUCCUAAUUCUACAGGUAAAUGACAAGUUUUUCCAAAACACUAGUCUAUGAGGAGAUGUACCUAUGAGAGUUUUGAAAGCAGUUAUGUAUGCCCAUAAAGCGUCAUCUAACCUUAGAGCCCCAUAAUUUUGCAUUUUUUGGCGAGGCUCAUCUCAUUUUUAUUAUUUAAAAGGAUAAACCUUAGGCAACUACAUAUUUCUACUUUGCGAGGGCCAUAAAAAAUUCAACCAAUGACACACUUCGAUUUCUAAAGAGUUUUAUUAAUAAAAUCAAGUAUAACGGCAAUGAGCGCAUUUAAAAACGACAAUUAGAUACACUUACUAAAUAGCUUAUAUCCGCCACCCCAUACAAUUAUCACGUGCCACCUAAUUUUGACUAACCAAACCCCAAAAAUAUCAUAGAAAAUAUUUUCUAAACUAAAAUAUGCAUACAUUUUCCCACAUAGCUAACUCACAAGAUUUGGACAAAGGGAACCAUGGAGGAUGAUUAUACUAAUUCAAAUUAAGUGAAGCUUUUGACAGAUAAUUAAGUAAAGCCCCCAAUCAAUAAUAAUAAAUUUGCAUCAUAGUUUACUUAAUACAACGGCAAUCAUGCGUUUCCAGCAAAUCCGAGCCCCAAAACGUUAACACACAAUUUGAGUAGUAGGCUAUUUCCAAAUCAGUUCUCCAAUGUAUACAAUGUUAACACUGGAAAGUCAAAUAAUUAGAGCAAUUGUAAUAUGCAAGCUAAACACAAAAUUAGUCAUUGCUCUGAGAACAAAACCCGAACAAAAAUGCAACUUAACAAAAUCUCAAUAUUUAUCAACACCUCAACUGACGGACGAAUUGAUCUUAAAUGAAUGGAUAAGCAGCGACAAAAAUGUUAAACAAUAACACAAGAAAUGAUUGAAUCAUGUUUAUCUAUGUCGAGCAAAUGUACAGAGCAUAAAAAUGAUUUCAAAGAAAUUAUUGCAACGAGAAAAGGAACGGACCUCGAAACAAAGUCAUUUUCGAAUCUGAAAAUACUUAACACUGGAAACCUUAGGCAGAGGCAAACUCGACGGACCUUAGACAACGACCUCCGGCAAACUCGAGCGGCGAAUCCAACAAACAGAACCUCGAUGGCAGCCACGAACACCCGUAUUCUCGUGUUUUCAAAUUCCGUCGAGCCAGUAUUGAAUAUUUCUUUACCCAGGAUAUGCGUGCGUGUGUGUGUGCAUUGGGUUGCAUCAAUGGCUGACGAGAUGAAGCAGCAGUAGCUGGUGGGUCUGCUGACCAGAAAACUGCUGCUGGUGCGUUUGUUUCUACCGAAUUUCCGGCGAGCUCGCUGGUGAGAUGGUUAUCGUGAAGGAGUCAUUUGUUAAGGGAGAUGGGGUGCUGAGUUUGACAUGAAGAAAGGCGAGGUAGUUGGUGGUUUGUUCAGGAGAUGGCUGCUACGGCUGGUUGACGACGCAGCAUUCGGUUCGGUGAAGAAGAUGAAGCACGACGAAGGCUGGUCGUGGGGGACAAUUUUCGGUUGCUGAUGGGCGGGGGUUAUGGUGAUGCUAUGGUUUUUCCAUGUUAGUUCUUUAAGGUUUUUUAGUUGGAGAAGAUGAAGUCAUCUUCAUUGUAUCUAAGGUCUAAGGUGUAAGGGUCUGUCCAAGCUCUCCGGGCCUCUUACGGCUGAUGCUUAAGGUUAGUUUUAUAGGUAGAGUAUUAGGGUAGGUUAGUUUUAGGGUUUUAGGGUAUUGGCCUUGGGUUAUCAGAAUUUUUGGCCUAAAAAUAGGUCAUUUGAAC